UGGGGAAUAUUGCACAAUGGGCGCAAGCCUGAUGCAGCCAUGCCGCGUGUGUGAAGAAGGCCUUCGGGUUGUAAAGCACUUUCAGCGGGGAGGAAGGCGAUAAGGUUAAUAACCUCAUCGAUUGACGUUACCCGCAGAAGAAGCACCGGCUAACUCCGUGCCAGCAGCCGCGGUAAUACGGAGGGUGCAAGCGUUAAUCGGAAUUACUGGGCGUAAAGCGCACGCAGGCGGUCUGUCAAGUCGGAUGUGAAAUCCCCGGGCUCAACCUGGGAACUGCAUUCGAAACUGGCAGGCUAGAGUCUUGUAGAGGGGGGUAGAAUUCCAGGUGUAGCGGUGAAAUGCGUAGAGAUCUGGAGGAAUACCGGUGGCGAAGGCGGCCCCCUGGACAAAGACUGACGCUCAUGUGCGAAAGCGUGGGGAGCAAACAGG
This 429-nucleotide ribosomal RNA is filed under the name Chloroflexota bacterium. Its description in RNAcentral is "Chloroflexi bacterium partial 16S ribosomal RNA". It matches the Rfam family "Bacterial small subunit ribosomal RNA", at positions 355 to 776 of the family's 1533-position model. The record is from RNAcentral. Lineage: Bacteria; Bacillati; Chloroflexota.